Non-coding RNA from Aegilops tauschii subsp. strangulata, 534 nucleotides. NCBI's taxonomy places the organism in Eukaryota, Viridiplantae, Streptophyta, Magnoliopsida, Poales, Poaceae. The record is from RefSeq and is a predicted model, not a curated record.
CUGUUCCUCUCGCUACAGGGGACAGGGGGCCGUGGCGGCCAUCCGCCGGCGAUGGCCGUGCGUGGCGGCCAUCCGUCCCCUGCCCCUGCCUACAAAGAGCCCCUGGGCGCCCCCCGAAACCCUAGCUUUCGCCUCCCCCCUCUCGCCGUUUCCCUCCCCCACGCACACCAACCGAAGCUCUGCCCGCCAUGGAUGACCUUAGUUGCCGUGGCCACCUCCCUCCCCGAGCUAUGACACCGCGUCGAAGAGGACCGUCGUCGUCUGCUACAUCAUCUGCGGGGAUCCAUUCGACCGGAGCCGCACUGUGCAUCGCCGGGAUCGACGCAUCUACCUCGCCUAUGGCCGCCGCUGCCCCGCGCCCGAUCUACCUCACCGGAGCUCCUCCGCCCCGCCGGACGCGUCGUCCGCCUCCCCCUACCCCGAGACCGAUGCUGCCCCUGUGAUCGACUACGUCACCGAUGACACUUCUUCCUUUUCAGCAGAGCUUUCAGAUGGUGGAGCCCAGGAUCCAGACGUCACCUUCGACGACAACUG